GAUGAAGAACGUAUCGAAAUGCGAUAAGUAGUGUGAAUUGCAGAAUUCAGUGAAUCAUCGAAUCUUUGAACGCACAUUGCGCCCCUUGGUAUUCCAUGGGGCAUGCCUGUUCGAGCGUCAUUUGUACCUUCAAGCUUUGCUUGGUGUUGGGUGUUUGUCUCGCCUUUGCGUGUAGACUCGCCUUAAAAUAAUUGGCAGCCGGCGUAUUGAUUUCGGAGCGCAGUACAUCUCGCGCUUUGCACUCAUAACGACAGCGUCCAAAAGUACAUUUUACACUCUUGACCUCGGAUCAGGUAGGGAUACCCGCUGAACUUAAGCAUAUCAAUAAGCGGAGGA
This 336-nucleotide unclassified non-coding RNA is filed under the name soil metagenome. RNAcentral's name for it is "partial contains 5.8S ribosomal RNA, internal transcribed spacer 2, and large subunit ribosomal RNA". The stretch from base 1 to 120 matches the Rfam family "5.8S ribosomal RNA", at positions 35 to 154 of the family's 154-position model. The record is from RNAcentral.